Molecule: long non-coding RNA, 1475 nt
Organism: Hyalella azteca
Lineage: Eukaryota; Metazoa; Arthropoda; Malacostraca; Amphipoda; Hyalellidae
Exons: 2
Source: RefSeq, a predicted model, not a curated record
UGGACUAAUUUUAUAGAAAUGAAUAUGAGCGCGGCCGCGGCAGACAACCGCCAAAUCUCUAAGCUCGGCAUGAACUUUUUGGCACUCCAUUGCUAUUGCCGGCACAAUCAUCGCCAGUCGGCCUGCAGGCUGCGUCCUGCCUUGCUAUGGUGAAAUAAGUUCGAGAAUUUCAGUGAGCCUACGCCACUUUUCAGAAAUAUUCGCUUCUCAUCUAAUCACAUAUAUAUUAGAAUACAAAUCACGCAUUUGUUAUUUUACAGGCUUUUGAAAUAUGUGACUUCAUUUGAGAAGACAUGACAAAUUUCGUGGAAUUUUGGCCGUUCAUGAAGAUUUCGACAAGUGGCUAAAAAUGGAAUCUGCUGAGCCGCCUGACAGUCAAAGGCUGCUGACUGCGCCUAGAGAACGGAAGAAACAAUGCGUUCAAUGAAGAUGCCCAUCAUUAUACGGUAUGAAUUGCAGUAUGAAUGAAUUUCAUUCAUGGAUAGAAAAGCUCGAACAACUAGUACGUUAACGGUUUUUAAUGAUAACUUGAAGGGUUAGAUCACUUCCCUAUCCUGGAUACUGGAUAGUAUCUUAUUCAUUGAUGGAUCCAAGUAACGCUUUCUUUGGUGGCCUUGUAAGUUGUAAGUUUAUCCACAUUCAUUCUUGUAGACAUUACGUCAUCUGGGGGUGAUCUCCGGUAGGCUUAUUCAUCAUUUCAUCUUAUUUAUGAACAAAUCGUUUGUUAGCGACAAGCUUCACUAUUGGGUUCAGAACUGUGUGUAAAAUUUUGACUUCUUUAUUAGUAGCCAAAGAAUGACAACUUCUGUUGUUGCGAUGGAAGUUAAGAAUCUUAGCUUCAUUAGCCCAAGAUGCCGUUGCUAUGGUAACUACGAUGCCGUUGUUAUGGAAGCGACUGUGUCGUUGCUAAGGACACUCCGUCGCUAUCACGCUUUUCUCUCGUGAUUUUCACGAAUGUUUUCGCUGUACGUAUUUUGUGUUAUAGGAAUGUGCAACAAUAUUAAAUGCAAAUAUUUAUUUUUUUUAGACUUGUUUCAUGUUCGUUUUAUUAUGUGAUAAGUGUGAAUUUUUCUAUUAAGAGCUCAAUAUAUUCCAAGUCCUCAACGAAAACGUCCCUGGCACAGACCAAGGUGUAUCCGGGAACUCUGGAACUGAAAUAUUAUAACUAAUUUCAUCUGUUAUUUUUAGAAGGGGUUAAAUUACCGCUACUGAUUUGAAGAACAAGUGAAUUCUUAGUGCGAACCUUUCGUUGAAGCCUGUAAGUCGAUUCAAACAAUGAAGGUGAUUACAUAUUUUUUCAGGUAUAUUUCCUGUCAAGAUUCUGUUGAUAUUUCAAUGAAUGUCACCGUACUUAAAAACUCUAUUAAUACACGUCAGCGAAAAAUUUCGACAUAAAUGAUGACAAUGCGUGCUGGAACAGUGACUUGAGAAGAAUAGUAUAGGAAAGUAUUAAAGUAAAUUUUCUCGAUGAUUUU